Molecule: long non-coding RNA, 607 nt
Filed under: Phasianus colchicus (ring-necked pheasant)
Lineage: Eukaryota; Metazoa; Chordata; Aves; Galliformes; Phasianidae
Description: lncRNA (ENSPCLG00000006497.1)
Source: RNAcentral
AUGAUGGAGGAUCUAAAAAAAUACGAUGAGGAAAUUUAUGAAACUCUUCCAGAAGACACGAUCCUGGAUGUAGCAACAAAAAAAGACAAAAAAGCAGAGAAGGAACUCGACGACUUAGAUGCUGGCAGUAAUUCACCUUCCACAGACCUAGAUUUAAUUUUCGGGAAGUUGCCACCAAAGUCACUGAUCAAGACCAACCUCCUCUUCCCAAAGCCUCCUUGUCCCAUGACAUCAUACAAGACAUCAGGAAGACAUCAUCCCCUUUCGAUUAACAAACAGACUGUUGCGGCUGAUGAAAAAAGAGACCAGGAUGUGACAGUGAGAACCCUGAAAUCUCCCCACAAGAGCCAUCUGGCACAGAAACGUGCAGUGAGACACUGGAAUGCUCCUUCCUCCAGCACCAGCUCAAGAGCUGCUCGUCACAACCACAAAAAUCACUUGUGAUAGCACACAGGCUGAGCAACAACAGCCGGGAGGAGAACAUUAACUGUAUUGCACCGUCUCACCGCUGCAGACUCCCAGAAAUACCACCUGCUGGGAUACUCUGAUGAGAAUUCUACGAAAAUGUCUGAAUAAAGGAAAUAACUUUCCUUUGUGAAUGAUAUUU